GACGAACGCUGGCGGCGUGCCUAACACAUGCAAGUCGAACGAAGUGGCGAACGGGUGAGUAAUACGUGAGUAACCUGCCCUCCUUUUUGGGUUAAGCCUUGGAAACGGGGUGUAAUACCGAAUAAAGGGGGAUGGGCUCGCGGCCUAGCAGCUGGUUGGGGGGGUGAUGGCCUACCAAGGCGGUGACGGGUAGCCGGCCUGAGAGGGUGACCGGGGAAAUUGGGACCGGGAUACGGCCCUGCGUGCUACGGGAGGCGGCAGUGUUCGGUAUUGCACGAUAGGCGGAGGCCAGAUGCACCGGCGCGCCGAGGGGGGUGAAGGGUUUCGGGUUGUAGACGUCUUUGGCGAUCGAACGGGUAGGUGGAGAAGAAGCGCCGGCUAACUACGUGCCAGCAGCCGCGGUAAUUC
RNAcentral lists this ribosomal RNA (408 nucleotides) under uncultured bacterium. RNAcentral's name for it is "partial 16S ribosomal RNA". It matches the Rfam family "Bacterial small subunit ribosomal RNA", at positions 28 to 526 of the family's 1533-position model. The record is from RNAcentral.